RNAcentral lists this ribosomal RNA (503 nucleotides) under uncultured bacterium. RNAcentral's name for it is "partial 16S ribosomal RNA". It matches the Rfam family "Bacterial small subunit ribosomal RNA", at positions 30 to 523 of the family's 1533-position model. The record is from RNAcentral.
AUUGAACGCUGGCGGCAGGCUUAACACAUGCAAGUCGAGCGGGGUGAUGGUGCUUGCACUAUCACUUAGCGGCGGACGGGUGAGUAAUGCUUAGGAAUCUGCCUAUUAGUGGGGGACAACAUCUCGAAAGGGAUGCUAAUACCGCAUACGUCCUACGGGAGAAAGCAGGGGAUCACUUGUGACCUUGCGCUAAUAGAUGAGCCUAGGUCGGAUUAGCAAGUUGGUGGGGUAAAGGCCUACCAAGGCGACGAUCUGUAGCGGGUCUGAGAGGAUGAGCCGCAAGCAUGGGACUGAGACACGGCCGAGAGUCCUACGGGAGGCAGCAGUGGGGAAUAUUGGACAAUGGGGGGAACCCUGAUCCAGCCAUGCCGCGUGUGUGAAGAAGGCCUUAUGGUUGUAAAGCACUUUAAGCGAGGAGGAGGCUCUUUUGGUUAAUACCCAAGAUGAGUGGACGUUACUCGCAGAAUAAGCACCGGCUAACUCUGUGCCAGCCGCCGCAGUAA